Molecule: ribosomal RNA, 303 nt
Filed under: uncultured bacterium
Lineage: Bacteria
Description: partial 16S ribosomal RNA
Rfam family: Bacterial small subunit ribosomal RNA
Source: RNAcentral
AGCAGUCGCCGCGGUAAUACGGAGGAUCCAAGCGUUAUCCGGAAUCAUUGGGUUUAAAGGGUCCGUAGGCGGUCUUGUAAGUCAGUGGUGAAAGCCCAUCGCUCAACGGUGGAACGGCCAUUGAUACUGCAGGACUUGAAUUAUUGGGAAGUAACUAGAAUAUGUAGUGUAGCGGUGAAAUGCUUAGAGAUUACAUGGAAUACCAAUUGCGAAGGCAGGUUACUACCAAUUGAUUGACGCUGAUGGACGAAAGCGUGGGUAGCGAACAGGAUUAGAUACCCGUGUAGUCCCUGUCUCUUAUAC